This 74-nucleotide transfer RNA is filed under the name Candidatus Latescibacter sp. RNAcentral's name for it is "tRNA-Gln". It matches the Rfam family "tRNA". Rfam says of the family: Transfer RNA (tRNA) molecules are approximately 80 nucleotides in length. Their secondary structure includes four short double-helical elements and three loops (D, anti-codon, and T loops). Further hydrogen bonds mediate the characteristic L-shaped molecular structure. tRNAs have two regions of fundamental functional importance: the anti-codon, which is responsible for specific mRNA codon recognition, and the 3' end, to which the tRNAs corresponding amino acid is attached (by aminoacyl-tRNA synthetases). tRNAs cope with the degeneracy of the genetic code in two manners: having more than one tRNA (with a specific anti-codon) for a particular amino acid; and 'wobble' base-pairing, i.e. permitting non-standard base-pairing at the 3rd anti-codon position. Lineage: Bacteria; Pseudomonadati; Candidatus Latescibacterota; Candidatus Latescibacteria (ex Chuvochina et al. 2023); Candidatus Latescibacterales; Candidatus Latescibacteraceae. The record is from RNAcentral.
UGCCCUGUGGUCUAAUGGUAAGACGGCUGACUCUGGAUCAGCUUAUUGAGGUUCGAAUCCUUACAGGGCAGCCA